Molecule: ribosomal RNA, 807 nt
Filed under: Ophiocordyceps neovolkiana
Lineage: Eukaryota; Fungi; Ascomycota; Sordariomycetes; Hypocreales; Ophiocordycipitaceae
Description: eukaryotic LSU rRNA
Rfam family: Eukaryotic large subunit ribosomal RNA
Source: RNAcentral
ACGGCGAGUGAAGCGGCAGCAGCUCAAAUUUGGAAUCCGGCCCCCCCGGGGGGCCCGAGUUGUAAUUUGCAGAGGAUGCCUUUGGCGCGGCGCCUUCCGAGUUCCCUGGAACGGGACGCCACAGAGGGUGAGAGCCCCGUCUGGUCGGAUGCCAAGCCUCCGUAAGGCCCCUUCGACGAGUCGAGUAGUUUGGGAAUGCUGCUCAAAACGGGAGGUAUAUGUCUUCUAAAGCUAAAUACCGGCCAGAGACCGAUAGCGCACAAGUAGAGUGAUCGAAAGAUGAAAAGCACUUUGAAAAGAGGGUCAAACAGUACGUGAAAUUGUUGAAAGGGAAGCGCUCGCGACCAGACAUGGGCUCGGUGAAUCAUCCGGCGUUCUCGCCGGUGCGCUUCGCCGGGCCCAGGCCAGCAUCGGCUCGCCGCGGGGGACAAAGGCGCCGGGAACGUGGCUCCCCCGGGAGUGUUAUAGCCCGGCGCGCAAUGCCCUGCGGCGGACCGAGGCCCGCGCAAUCCGCAAGGAUGCUGGCGUAAUGGUCACCAGCGACCCGUCUUGAAACACGGACCAAGGAGUCGUCUUCGCAUGCGAGUGUUCGGGUGUGAAACCCCUACGCGUAAUGAAAGUGAACGCAGGUGGGAGCCUCGGCGCACCAUCGACCGAUCCUGAUGUUCUCGGAUGGAUUUGAGUAAGAGCAUGCGGGGCCGGACCCGAAAGAAGGUGAACUAUGCCUGUAUAGGGUGAAGCCAGAGGAAACUCUGGUGGAGGCUCGCAGCGGUUCUGACGUGCAAAUCGAUCGUCAAAUAUGGGCGG